GAUGAAGAACGUAGCGAAAUGCGAUAAGUAAUGUGAAUUGCAGAAUUCAGUGAAUCAUCGAAUCUUUGAACGCACAUUGCGCCCUUUGGUAUUCCGAAGGGCAUGCCUGUUCGAGCGUCAUUAUAACCACUCAAGCUCUCGCUUGGUAUUGGGGUUCGCGGUCUCGCGGCCCCUAAAAUCAGUGGCGGUGCCUGUCGGCUCUACGCGUAGUAAUACUCCUCGCGAUUGAGUCCGGUAGGUGACUUGCCAGCAACCCCCAAAUUUUUCAGGUUGACCUCGGAUCAGGUAGGGAUACCCGCUGAACUUAAGCAUAUCAAUAAGCGGGA
RNAcentral lists this unclassified non-coding RNA (326 nucleotides) under soil metagenome. Its description in RNAcentral is "partial contains 5.8S ribosomal RNA, internal transcribed spacer 2, and large subunit ribosomal RNA". The stretch from base 1 to 120 matches the Rfam family "5.8S ribosomal RNA", at positions 35 to 154 of the family's 154-position model. The record is from RNAcentral.